GGAGAGUUUGAUCCUGGCUCAGGAUGAACGCUGGCGGCGUGCCUAAUACAUGCAAGUCGAACGGUCUGCCAGUUUUUCGGAAUUGGCGGAUAGUGGCGGACGGGUGCGUAACACGUAGCUGACCUGCCCUUUGCUGGGGGAUAACAAGUCGAAAGACUUGCUAAUACCGCGUAAGCUCAUUAAGGUUAGAGUCUUAAUGAGGAGAGCCGCGAGGCGGCAAAGGAGGGGGCUGCGGUCCAUCAGCUAGUUGGCGAGGUAAAGGCUCACCAAGGCGAAGACGGAUAGGGGGCCUGAGAGGGUGACCCCCCACACUGGGACUGAGACACGGCCCAGACUCCUACGGGAGGCAGCAGUAAGGGAUAUUGCACAAUGGGCGAAAGCCUGAUGCAGCAACGCCGCGUGAGGGAAGACGGGUUUCGGCUCGUAAACCUCUUUUCUGCCUGAAGAGAAAGGACGGUAGGGCAGGAAUAAGUCUCGGCUAACUACGUGCCAGCAGCCGCGGUAAAACGUAGGAGGCGAGCGUUAUCCGGAAUUACUGGGCGUAAAGCGCGCGUAGGCGGUGAUGCAAGUGGUGCGUGAAAGCUCUUGGCUCAACUGGGAGAGGUCGUACCAAACUGCAUGACUAGAGACAGCAAGAGGUCAAUGGAAUUUCGGGUGGAGCGGUGAAAUGCGUAGAGAUCCGGAGGAACACCAGAGGCGAAGGCGAUUGACUGGGGCUGUUCUGACGCUGAGGAGCGAAAGCGUGGGGAGCGAACGGGAUUAGAAACCCCGGUAGUCCACGCUGUAAACGAUGCACACUAGACGUACUGUGCGGAAGCGCAUGGUGUGUCGUAGCCAACGCGGUAAGUGUGCCGCCUGGGGAGUACGGUCGCAAGGCUAAAACUCAAAGGAAUUGACGGGGGCCCGCACAAGCAGCGGAGCGUGUGGUUUAAUUCGAGGCUA
This 942-nucleotide ribosomal RNA is filed under the name Candidatus Thermofonsia bacterium. RNAcentral's name for it is "bacterial SSU rRNA". It matches the Rfam family "Bacterial small subunit ribosomal RNA", at positions 8 to 959 of the family's 1533-position model. The record is from RNAcentral. Lineage: Bacteria; Bacillati; Chloroflexota; Candidatus Thermofontia.